This 253-nucleotide ribosomal RNA is filed under the name uncultured bacterium. RNAcentral describes it as "partial 16S ribosomal RNA". It matches the Rfam family "Bacterial small subunit ribosomal RNA", at positions 524 to 776 of the family's 1533-position model. The record is from RNAcentral.
UACGUAGGGUCCGAGCGUUGUCCGGAUUUAUUGGGUUUAAAGGGUGCGUAGGCGGUCCUAUAAGUCAGUGCUGAAAUAUCCCGGCUUAACCGGGAGGGUGGCAUUGAUACUGUUGGACUUGAGUAAAGUUGAGGUUGGCGGAAUUGACGGUGUAGCGGUGAAAUGCGCAGAUAUCAGGAGGAACACCGGUGGCGAAGGCGGGUCUCUGGGCCGAUACUGACGCUGAGGAGCGAAAGCGUGGGGAGCGAACAGG